This 607-nucleotide long non-coding RNA is filed under the name Triticum aestivum (bread wheat). RNAcentral's name for it is "long non-coding RNA (TAES_LNC006634)". Lineage: Eukaryota; Viridiplantae; Streptophyta; Magnoliopsida; Poales; Poaceae. The record is from RNAcentral.
CCCUGCCUCUGACACCUAUGUCAUUUUCGGUGAGGCUAAGAUUGAGGAUCUGAGCUCACAGCUGCAGUCCCAGGCCGCUGAGCAAUUCAAGGCGCCUGAUCUUAGCAGCGUCAUCUCAAACCCUGAGGCUUCUACAGCUAUUCAGGAGGAUGACGAGGAUUGUGAUGAGACCGGAGUUGAGCCGAAGGACAUUGAGCUGGUGAUGACCCAGGCCGGCGUGCCUAGGCCCAAGGCUGUGAAGGCGCUCAAGUCUGCUGACGGUGACAUAGUCAGUGCUAUCAUGGAACUGACGAACUAGCCGUGCCCAACCUGUGAUAUUAUGUCAGUUUUUCCUUGUUUACAUGGGAAUACAUGAGUUGUAACGUUUGGUGGUCAUGUGUGAACUUUGAGCUGCUCUGUAUUAGCAAAGACCUGAGGCAAUGUCGAAUGAGCUUCUUUUUCAUGCAUUGGAACAAAUCCUGGGUUGGUUUCUCAGUGGGUCUGUAUUUUAUUGCAAAUCUGGGGUCAAUGAAAUUCCAACAUCUCGCCAUUGCUAAUACAGUACACGUUUGUGUUUGCUUUCAUAGGAAAUUUUUAAUGUUUUGCAGCCUGGAGCUGUAAGGCCAGA